Long non-coding RNA from Mytilus californianus (California mussel), 918 nucleotides. RefSeq lists it as uncharacterized. The transcript has 3 exons. NCBI's taxonomy places the organism in Eukaryota, Metazoa, Mollusca, Bivalvia, Mytilida, Mytilidae. The record is from RefSeq and is a predicted model, not a curated record.
GAAGACAAUUUUCAUCGACUCGUAGAGUUUGUGGUGAAAAUAGCUGGAGACGUUUCAAGAAAGUAUUUUGAAUCUUGCAUUUUGAAAGGUGACACAUUCGAAAAAUAUUUAUGGAAAAACAUUCAUGAAAUUCUGCAUUUAUAUGAGGGACAUCCCUGUUGCAAAUGUACACAACAAUAUAGUGCAUGUACAAAAGGUUUUUCAUAUCUAUGUAAGUGUAAGCCAGUUUUAACCGAGAAGCAAAUAUUAGAACUGUUUACGUAUGAUCGCAGCAGUUUCGAACCUAAACAUGUAAACCGUAAAGGUAAACUGAAGCAACGUUGUUUGUGUGCGUACAAAGUGAAAUCGCCCAUAUCUCUGAAUUCUGUUGACAUUACGCUACUUUGUUCAAUAAUUAAAAGGAUUGAAAGUAUGAAUGUACAUCGAGGUAUUGACAAAAAGUAUGAAGAAAUAAGAGAAACAAGAAACUACAUCUUUCACCAGUCUGACUCUUUAUCUAUAUCACAUCGGGCAUUUGAAAAGAAAUGGAAAAUACUCAAAGAUUCAACGGAAUAUAUGUUCCAAUACAUAACUGAUAAACAGUUUAAAGAAAACAUCAUUAAAAAGAUAAAUGAAAUCAGAGGAACUGUUAGGAUAUCAAAUGAUAAUUUAGCUCAAAAACAGAUCUGCGAGGAUUACUGGAGAGACAAAUGCGCAGAACUCGAGAAACGACAACAGGAAGAAUUUUCGCAAAUUUUGCUAAGAUUUCAAGAGGUUUUCAAUUUGGAUGAAGACACAAUUGAAGACCAUAAAGAGACAGUGACAAACAAAAUUGAUGCAUUACAAACCUUUGUUAAUAAGGUAAACAUUUGCGUCAAUGGAAAUAUUGAGCUAAAGAAUCUACUAACGUGUGUAGAUGUUGAGGCACCAGAAGACGGU